GUGCUCAUUUCAGCACAUACACUAAAAUUGGAACAAUACAGAGAAGAUUAGUAUGGCCCCUGCAUAAGGAUGACAAGCAAAUUUGUGAAGCAAUCUGUUUUU
Small nuclear RNA from Jaculus jaculus (lesser Egyptian jerboa), 102 nucleotides. Lineage: Eukaryota; Metazoa; Chordata; Mammalia; Rodentia; Dipodidae. The record is from Ensembl.